Long non-coding RNA from Mauremys reevesii (Reeves's turtle), 384 nucleotides. RefSeq lists it as uncharacterized. Lineage: Eukaryota; Metazoa; Chordata; Testudines; Geoemydidae. The transcript has 4 exons. The record is from RefSeq and is a predicted model, not a curated record.
UUUUGAGUUAAAGUGUGCUAAGCCACCGAGUACAUCUUUGAGGGUGUCAACCUUUUAAAACUAUAUUGGGAGGAUGAGCAGAGCUAAAAGAAGAGGAAAACAGUUGAGAUGUCAGCUAAAGAACACGCUGAAGCAAUAUCAUUUGAAAGGAAGAUUGAUGUACUAACUGCAUGCAGAUCAACAGGUAUUGUAUACUGUAUCAGUCAAAGGUGUUGACGCAGAAGGGGACUGUGGUUGGACAUACAGUACAUACCAUUCUCUUCACACAGUUAAAUUUACUCAGCACUGGCUUUCUGAGCCACAACCUGAACACUGCAAAUAGAGCAAAUGGCACAUAAAACCUGUGAAUUCUGUGGCCAUUUUUUUCAACCCCGGACACAUUUG